CCUCCAUUUUGUCAUCAGUAUCAACAUAUUAAAAUUUGAAAAGCUUAGAUUGAAUGGUUCAUGAGUAAAUGCAACAACCUGAAUGGAAAUGCCAUUUUACAAUCUUUCAAGAACCAUAACUCCUGAACAGUAAAAGUCAAAAUCGUCAUUAUUGAACUUGACCUCUAUUUUGUCAUCAGUAACAACAUAUUAAAAUUUCAAAAGCUUUGGUUGAAUGGUUCAUGAGAAAAUGCACAGACACGACGGGAAAAACCAUUUUUCAAUCUUUCAAGAACCUUAACUCCUGAACGGUAAAAGUCAAAAUCGUCAUUAUUGAACUUGACCUCCAUUUUGUCAUCAGUAACAGCAUAUUAAAAUUUCGGAAGCUUUGGUAGAACAGUUAAUGCAUAAAUGCACGGACAUGACUGGAAACUCCAUUUUUCAAUCUUUCAAGAACCAUAACUCCUGAACGGUAAAAGUCAAAUUCAUCAUUAUUGAACUUGACCUCCAUUCUUUCAUUAGUAACAACAUAUUAAAAUUUGGGAAGCUUUGGUAGAACAGUUCAUGCGUAAAUGCACGGACAACUCCAUUUUUCAAUCUUUCAAGAACCAUAACUCCUGAACGGUAAAAGUCAAAAUCGCCAUUAUUGAACUUGACCUUCGUAUAGUUGUCAGGAAUAACAUAUUAAAAUUUUAAAAGCUUUGUUGAACGGUUCAUGAGUUAAUGCACGGACAACAUUUGAUUGCCGCCCGCCCGCC
RNAcentral lists this long non-coding RNA (737 nucleotides) under Mytilus galloprovincialis (Mediterranean mussel). The record is from RNAcentral. Lineage: Eukaryota; Metazoa; Mollusca; Bivalvia; Mytilida; Mytilidae.